This 130-nucleotide small RNA is filed under the name Subsaximicrobium wynnwilliamsii. RNAcentral's name for it is "6S-Flavo RNA". It matches the Rfam family "6S-Flavo RNA". The record is from Rfam by way of RNAcentral. Lineage: Bacteria; Pseudomonadati; Bacteroidota; Flavobacteriia; Flavobacteriales; Flavobacteriaceae.
ACUCAACGUUAAUUCUUUAAGAAGGGUGAGUUUAAGUUGUAAAAUCGAGCUGCUAGUGCUGAACUUGCUUCAGUAUCUCGAGCAGAUUUUUGAUCAGCUUGUUAGCCCUAAACUUGUUUUUAAGGGGUUU